GGGACUUCCCUUAACUGGGUUGGGGCAUGAAUAUGGGUUUUGGUUUAUGUUUUUGCAAGUGAGUCGAAAUGGAUAGUGUUUAUUUCUAAGAAAUCCUGUGUUGUGGCUUUGGAUUUUAGGUUCUUUGGGAGUGCUUGCCUUUAGGUUGGUAGCUUGAAGGUUGAAGGGAGCUGUUUGAUGCUCAACUUAGGUCUAAGGGUUUACUUUUUUCUGUUUGAAGUCUUCUCUUGCAUUGGCUAUAUGCAUCUCUGAGAUUCGCUUCUACACCAUGGCUGGGAAGGUCGUCAUUAUGGCCUAUAGGGCCAACGAGCUCUAUUGCAGUAUCCUCUUAUCAAGGCGGAGAUGAGCUGCAUCUUAAUGGAGUUUCUAGAGGUCAAUGAUAUGAGAGGAUUGUGGUUUGGGAUAGGCAAUGUUUCUGUCCUUUGUGUUGCUAGUUGUGUAUUAGCUUUAAUCCUUAUGCAGCGACUUGGCGUCAAGCCUUGCAAUGGUCGAUGGUGUGCUUCUUCAACGAGGUCUCUUUUUGUAUUCUAUUCCUAGAUUAGGGUUAGGUCAAUUUUUUGGGCUUGGUUUGGGUGGGUUUUGGGUUGGUUUGGUUUGUGGUUGGUUCUAUUAGGCUUGGUUUUAUGCCAUAUACUGUGGGCCUUUGGUUUCUUUUUAUUUUAAUGGACUCAUAUCUCUUGC
Molecule: unclassified non-coding RNA, 681 nt
Filed under: Hevea brasiliensis (rubber tree)
Lineage: Eukaryota; Viridiplantae; Streptophyta; Magnoliopsida; Malpighiales; Euphorbiaceae
Source: RNAcentral